Molecule: ribosomal RNA, 616 nt
Filed under: uncultured bacterium
Lineage: Bacteria
Description: bacterial SSU rRNA
Rfam family: Bacterial small subunit ribosomal RNA
Source: RNAcentral
ACUCCUACGGGAGGCAGCAGUGGGGAAUUUUGGACAAUGGGCGCAAGCCUGAUCCAGCAAUGCCGCGUGAGUGAAGAAGGCCUUCGGGUUGUAAAGCUCUUUUGUCAGGGAAGAAACGGUGAAGGCUAAUAUCUUUUGCUAAUGACGGUACCUGAAGAAUAAGCACCGGCUAACUACGUGCCAGCAGCCGCGGUAAUACGUAGGGUGCAAGCGUUAAUCGGAAUUACUGGGCGUAAAGCGUGCGCAGGCGGUUUUGUAAGUUUGUCGUGAAAUCCCCGGGCUCAACCUGGGAAUGGCGAUGAAGACUGCAAGGCUAGAAUCUGGCAGAGGGGGGUAGAAUUCCACGUGUAGCAGUGAAAUGCGUAGAGAUGUGGAGGAACACCGAUGGCGAAGGCAGCCCCCUGGGUCAAGAUUGACGCUCAUGCACGAAAGCGUGGGGAGCAAACAGGAUUAGAUACCCUGGUAGUCCACGCCCUAAACGAUGUCUACUAGUUGUCGGGUUUUAAUUAACUUGGUAACGCAGCUAACGCGUGAAGUAGACCGCCUGGGGAGUACGGUCGCAAGAUUAAAACUCAAAGGAAUUGACGGGGACCCGCACAAGCGGUGGAGCAUGUGG